AUACGGAGGAUGCGAGCGUUAUCCGGAUUUAUUGGGUUUAAAGGGAGCGUAGGUGGGAUAUUAAGUCAGCUGUGAAAGUUUGGGGCUCAACCUUAAAAUUGCAGUUGAUACUGGUUUCCUUGAGUACGGUAUAGGUUGGCGGAAUUCGUUGUGUAGCGGUGAAAUGCAUAGAUAUGACGAAGAACACCGAUUGCGUAGGCAGCUGACCAGACCGCAAAUGACGCUCAUGCACGAAAGUGCGGGGAUCAAACAGGAUUAGAUACCCUGGUAGUCCGCACAGUAAACGAUGAAUACUUGUUUUCGGCGAUAUAAUGUCGGAGGCAAAGCGAAAGCGAUAAGUAUUCCACCUGGGGAGUACGCCGGCAACGGUGAAACUCAAAUGAAUUGACGGGG
Molecule: ribosomal RNA, 393 nt
Filed under: uncultured bacterium
Lineage: Bacteria
Description: partial 16S ribosomal RNA
Rfam family: Bacterial small subunit ribosomal RNA
Source: RNAcentral